CUGAACAUGCGGCUACAUCAGCCCCACUUGGAACAGCUUUAAAAGGACUCUGCUGCUACCGGGAACGUUUCAUUCGGCAGCCGUGCGACACAGUCUUACGGGUUGAUUUUCCUGCUCUUUGCCGGUGUGCGAUGUGCCGUUCUGUUCCUUAUCCUCCUCACCCACACUGAUGACCGAUGUCCAGGUGUCGCCGAGCACUAGACAGUGGCUUGCUUGCUUGCUUGCUCCCUCCCUCCCUAUAUCAUGGACGCGCACGCGCACACACUGCCUGGUGCCACAAGCCGACCGACCCAAAACACAACGAACUCACCGAGAAUGUGAAGUGCCGCAUGGGCCAAGCCGGCGUGGCCGACAUCACAAGACGAGUUGGCCC
Long non-coding RNA from Dermacentor albipictus, 373 nucleotides. RefSeq lists it as uncharacterized. The record is from RefSeq and is a predicted model, not a curated record. Lineage: Eukaryota; Metazoa; Arthropoda; Arachnida; Ixodida; Ixodidae.